Long non-coding RNA from Maniola jurtina (meadow brown), 462 nucleotides. RefSeq lists it as uncharacterized. NCBI's taxonomy places the organism in Eukaryota, Metazoa, Arthropoda, Insecta, Lepidoptera, Nymphalidae. The record is from RefSeq and is a predicted model, not a curated record. The transcript is spliced from 2 exons.
UUAUGGGACAGAAACGGGCGUCACUUUGCGGAAGUCCUACACCAAUGGCGCCAAUGGUAAUCGUAAUUACUGAUGUUGGUUCAUAUUACGUGAAACACUACGUAGGCUCUCAUUGGAUCUGUUCAGGCACCAUUGAAUCGAUUUAAUUAUUUAUUAUUUAACUAAGUUAGUAAAAUUCUCAUUAAUUCCACGCCAAUGAUGCAUCCGAUAAGGGGGAGCUAAAAACUGAUGUAAAUAUUAUGAUAAAUUACUUUUUCAUAAGUAAAAUGUAAACAUUGAUUUAGUGUAAACAGUAUUAGUGACUACAUCGAUUUUAUUAUUAAUGUAUAUAUUACAUUGUAAAGCAUUUUUGUACUGUUGUACAUUUACGUUACAUACACAUGGCUUAUUUUAUAUUCUACUCAUUUUGUAAAUGACUACGGAACCCUAAACAAAACUAAUAAAUAUGAAUAAUAGCAUCUA